RNAcentral lists this unclassified non-coding RNA (240 nucleotides) under soil metagenome. Its description in RNAcentral is "partial contains 5.8S ribosomal RNA, internal transcribed spacer 2, and large subunit ribosomal RNA". The record is from RNAcentral.
AACCUUAUGGACCUGCGGGCGUAUACCUGCGGAGGGAUCAUUAAAAAGAGUGUGUACCCCUCUGUAAAAUGAGUGGGUUACCUCCCGUCCUUUGUUGACCUCUUAGGAGGUUAUUUUGAACUUUCUGCUUCGGUGGGGUUAAACCUACCGGAACACCCUCAAAUUCUUAUCAUUUAAAAAUUGUUCAGUCUGAUUUUUGUUAAUAAAAACAAAAAACUUUCAGCAAUGGAUCUCAGAUCG